UGUGGGAGGGGGCUUGCUCCCGAUAGCGGUGGUUCAGCUAAAUUUCUUUGGCUGACACACCGCCAUCGGGGGCAAGCCCCCUCCCACA
This 88-nucleotide unclassified non-coding RNA is filed under the name Pseudomonas orientalis. The record is from RNAcentral. Lineage: Bacteria; Pseudomonadati; Pseudomonadota; Gammaproteobacteria; Pseudomonadales; Pseudomonadaceae.